This is a non-coding RNA of Heterocephalus glaber (naked mole-rat), 2760 nucleotides long. The record is from RefSeq and is a predicted model, not a curated record. Lineage: Eukaryota; Metazoa; Chordata; Mammalia; Rodentia; Bathyergidae.
UUUAAAUAGCUUCUAUUAUAGUAUAUUGUUAUAAUUUUUCUAUUUUACUAGUAGUUACUAUCAUUAAUCUCUCACUGUGCCUGUUUAAUAAAUUAAACUUUAUUGUAGGUAUGUAUGUACAGGCAUAAGCAGGUCAGAUAUCCAUUUAAACUCUUAGCUUAUAUCCCCCAUACGUAAGCAGGGCUACUGGACUUGAAUACAUCCAUAUAACUGACCACCAACCAAGAUAGGGCAUAUUUCCAUCACUUCAAAAAGUUCACUCUUGUACUUUUUAGUUGGUCCCCCUUCAUGAGUCCCUUGUCAUCACAGGUAAGAUUUAAGCAUCUUUUACAUGGAACCAUAGAGGAACUACUAUUAUGUGUUUGGCUUCAUUUGCUUCUUUCUUUCUAACUUGUAUGCCUUUAUUAUUUUUUUCUUACAUUAUUGAGUUAGCUAGGACUUUCAGCAUGUUAAAUAGAGACAGAGAAGACAUCUUGUUUCUGAACUCAAAAAAAAAGCAUUCAGUAUGGUAUUUCACCAUUAAAUAUGAGUAAAGUCAUUGGGGCUUGGAGUUUUCUCUUUUUUUGAAACAUUUUAAGAUUAUGAAUUUAAUUUUGAGAAUUAAUGUAAAGUUAUUUGGAUUUUUCUGUUGUCUCUUGAUAACUUUGAUAAGAUAUAUUUUUUAGGAAUUUAUCCAUCUGUACUAAGCUGUUGAGUUUAGAGGCAUAAAAUUAAUUACCCUGUCUUCUUAGAGAAUUACAUGCUUUAAUACAUUGUAAUAGCCUCUUCCACUGGUAGUUUUUCUUGUCUGACUUUGAUAUAAAUAAAGUUGCUUCAACUUUUUCUUAAUUUGUGACUGCAUGGUAUAAUUUUUUCCAUCCUUGUAAACUAUUUAUAUCUUUAUAUUUAAAGUAGGUUUUGUAGACAGUAGUAUUUGGGUCGUCCUUUACAUAAUAGUCUAACAGUCGCUAUCUUUUUAUUAGUGUGAUUUACAUUUAAUUUGGUUGUUAUGAUCAAAUUAAAAUCUCCCAUCUAACUAGCUGCUUUCUACAUGUCCUAUUUGUUCUUUUUUCCUUUGUUUAGCCCCCUUUUUGAUUGAAAUUUUUUUUAAUGAGGCAGUGUUACCUCUGCUAUUAGAUUACUAUAUAUACUAUUUUAAACAAAUUUAGGAGUUGCCUUAGAAUUUUACCAUGCACAUCUUAUUUGAUGAAAGUCUACUUUCAAAUAUUAUUUUGCUUAAUACUAAUUUAAGAACAGUAGAUUACCAAUUCCUCACUUCCAUUCUUGCCCUAUUGUUGUCAAAUAUUUGCUCUUAAUAUAUAUUAAGAAUAUAUAAAACUACUAUGUUUUCUUUAGAUAGCUAUCUUUCAGAGCAACUAGAUAUAAAAGAGAUGAUAGUAAACUGAGUCACAGAAAGAUUAAUUUGUCCAAAGAUACAGAAACAGAAAGUGACAGAACCUGGCAUCUUAACCACUAUAUUUCAACUGCCUCCAACAUUUGGAAGGGAACAAUGUUUGUGAUGCUGCUACAGUAGACCUUUGAUGAUGUCAAUAAGGAGACAUCCCCACUUUCUUUGGUUAAAAGUCUCAGAGACUUUAAGGAUCGCUGCCUGCCAAGAAGAAAGCAUGGUGAACCACAAGCUGUUGCUAUUUCACUGAACCACUCCACAGAUGGUCCAUGGCUGCUGAGCAGAGUGAACCUCAGGAUAGACUGCACUGGUCCCCGACAAGGCCACCCUCACCAGCAGAUGAGGUGUUAAUGGAUUAUUCCUGGUAAUGGGUUUCCCUUCGUCUCUUUAUUAAAUUCCAAGCUGUUACCUAGACUACAUCCCACUAUAUCUAAUUAAUGUACUAAUCAACUUUGUUUUGAAUGGAAAUGAAGAAAAUCUGUUGAUACUCCUGCUGGCAGAAUAAGAAAUAUGCCUACUGUGGAGUAUCUUUUUCCAUUAUGAAGAAAAUUUAAUCUCUGUCAUCCUCAAAAGUGAAAAAUUAUUUUGUAGUUGGAUUCCUGCUUGUAUGGCUUGGGGUUAUCCUAGUUUCCAAGUGACUAUUUGUUUCAGAAAGAUUCUCUCCAGAAGCCAUUCAUAAGGCUGUUAAAUUCUUUAAUAAAGAAUUGGAAGCCAAAUUAACUAGGCUAGAAACACGGAUAAUCAGUUGGCAGUAGACUGAUGUCCAGCCCCCUGAAUUUUUAACUGCUGCAGAACUGAGUGACCCAGCUGUGGGUCCCACUCCAAGUCUUCCAAUCUGAGAGCAGCCACCAUGCCAUCAUCUCACUCUGUCCUCCAGUUGUCUUGUGUAUCUCCCAGCAUCCAUAUGUGUGAUCCCUCCACACAGCGAUGCCCUCUGAUGACAUAUUGAGCAUGACAGCCAUGAGAGCCAUGAGCAUGUCCCAGCCACUGUGCUAUACCUUUAAAUCUUCUGUUCCAAUGACAACCAUUUGAAAAUGGGAAGAAUAAUCCCAUUUUUCACAUUUCAAAAUAAGACUUUGGAUAGAUUAUGUAUCUUGUCUGUAGCCACACAGCUACUAAUUGGUGAAGUAAGGAUUUUUGUCCACUUCCUACCCAAACCCCAGCCAUCAACUCUGUCAUCUCUAUUAAGAUUCUGGCUUCCCUAAAUAAAUACAUGAAAAAAUGUUCAACAUCACUGGUCAUUCGAGAGAUGCAAAUGAAAACAAAGCUGAGAUUCCACCUCACCCUGGAAAGAAUGGCUGCUAUCAUGAAAUCAACCAAUAACACAUGCUGGCAGGGCUGUGGGGAAAGAGGAACCCUGCUCCACUGCUGGU